CGACGCGUCGCGGGAGAGCCGGUCAGCGCCAACCGAAGUACGAACGGACAGCGCCCGACCGGCACCGAAGGAGCAAGCCUCCCCGCCAAUCUCUCAGGUCACCACACCGCGAUGACGAG
Molecule: non-coding RNA, 119 nt
Filed under: Agromyces sp.
Lineage: Bacteria; Bacillati; Actinomycetota; Actinomycetes; Micrococcales; Microbacteriaceae
Description: Glycine sequence
Rfam family: Glycine riboswitch aptamer
About the family: This family represents the bacterial glycine riboswitch. Glycine riboswitches usually consist of two metabolite-binding aptamers domains with similar structures in tandem. The aptamers cooperatively bind glycine to regulate the expression of downstream genes.
Source: RNAcentral